AGCCCUGAGGUGUUUGUCAUAUUAGAUUGCAAAUCUUAAGGAGCAGACUAACCGUCUGCCGGGGCUU
This 67-nucleotide transfer RNA is filed under the name Rastrelliger kanagurta (Indian mackerel). RNAcentral describes it as "tRNA-Cys". RNAcentral also lists the same sequence under 1 other name. The record is from RNAcentral. Lineage: Eukaryota; Metazoa; Chordata; Actinopteri; Scombriformes; Scombridae.